RNAcentral lists this ribosomal RNA (483 nucleotides) under Salmonella enterica. Its description in RNAcentral is "partial 23S ribosomal RNA". It matches the Rfam family "Bacterial large subunit ribosomal RNA", at positions 68 to 590 of the family's 2925-position model. Lineage: Bacteria; Pseudomonadati; Pseudomonadota; Gammaproteobacteria; Enterobacterales; Enterobacteriaceae. The record is from RNAcentral.
GCGAUAAGCGCCGGUAAGGUGAUAUGAACCGUUAUAACCGGCGAUACCCGAAUGGGGAAACCCAGUGUGACUCGUCACACUAUCAUUAACUGAAUCCAUAGGUUAAUGAGGCGAACCGGGGGAACUGAAACAUCUAAGUACCCCGAGGAAAAGAAAUCAACCGAGAUUCCCCCAGUAGCGGCGAGCGAACGGGGAGGAGCCCAGAGCCUGAAUCAGCAUGUGUGUUAGUGGAAGCGUCUGGAAAGGCGCGCGAUACAGGGUGACAGCCCCGUACACAAAAGCGCAUGUGCUGUGAGCUCGAUGAGUAGGGCGGGACACGUGGUAUCCUGUCUGAAUAUGGGGGGACCAUCCUCCAAGGCUAAAUACUCCUGACUGACCGAUAGUGAACCAGUACCGUGAGGGAAAGGCGAAAAGAACCCCGGCGAGGGGAGUGAAAAAGAACCUGAAACCGUGUACGUACAAGCAGUGGGAGCACCCUUUGGG